UACGGGGGGGGCAAGCGUUGUUCGGAAUUACUGGGCGUAAAGGGCUCGUAGGCGGCCAACUAAGUCAGACGUGAAAUCCCUCGGCUUAACCGGGGAACUGCGUCUGAUACUGGAUGGCUUGAGUUUGGGAGAGGGAUGCGGAAUUCCAGGUGUAGCGGUGAAAUGCGUAGAUAUCUGGAGGAACACCGGUGGCGAAGGCGGCAUCCUGGACCGAGAUUGACACUGAUGAGCGAAAGCUAGGGGAGCAAACGGG
RNAcentral lists this ribosomal RNA (253 nucleotides) under uncultured bacterium. Its description in RNAcentral is "partial 16S ribosomal RNA". It matches the Rfam family "Bacterial small subunit ribosomal RNA", at positions 524 to 776 of the family's 1533-position model. The record is from RNAcentral.